GUCCGUGAGUGGGUGAGGACGGGGUCAACCUUAUCGCCUCCAGGUUCAUUGGAGCGGAAGGUAGCCUGCGAGCUGAUAAGGAUUCCCAAGUGAAAAGACUCGGACUUCACGUUUCAGGAAGCAGUGUGGUGUUUCCGUUCUGCUGGUGCUGGUUCUGCUGAUGCUGGUUCUGCUGCUGCUGAAGAUUCGUAGCGGAGCCUUCAGGAGACUUCGGCGUAUGGGGAAACACUCAGCUGUAUCUUUAAAGGUGAGG
Long non-coding RNA from Portunus trituberculatus (swimming crab), 253 nucleotides. RefSeq lists it as uncharacterized. The transcript is spliced from 5 exons. Lineage: Eukaryota; Metazoa; Arthropoda; Malacostraca; Decapoda; Portunidae. The record is from RefSeq and is a predicted model, not a curated record.